Malaclemys terrapin pileata is the source of this 1886-nucleotide long non-coding RNA. RefSeq lists it as uncharacterized. NCBI's taxonomy places the organism in Eukaryota, Metazoa, Chordata, Testudines, Emydidae. The transcript is spliced from 4 exons. The record is from RefSeq and is a predicted model, not a curated record.
UCCUGCUGCAGCCCAGGCCCGAUGCCGCCAGACCCGGGCUCGUUCUCCCGGCGGCUGGCGCCCCGGAUCCCGGGCUGCCUGUCCUGGGCCGAACGGGGGACGCACCACGCUGGGGUGCUGCUGGCAGCCUCAGCUUAGUCCCAUUGGGUUGUGAUGGAGUUCCCACGCGGGGUGAUGCCAAUACCAAAUUUAUGGGGGAAGAAGACUUCCAUACCCGUCAGAUGAAUUAUUCAGCAAGAGUCACAGUGAGACCAAGCACACAGGCCCCUGCUUCAGAGCCUGCAACCCAAACUUGUUUCCAUCCCUUUGUCUAAUGACCUUUCAACAUUGAAGUCAGGUCAAUAAAGAGGGUCUUCCUACACAAGGUCUCUAGCACUAUCCCCUGGAUCUCUUCCAUAAAGUUCGAAGAUCAUGUCCUGUCUGUGCUUUGACUUUCUCCACAAUCAGGCAGCAUUUCCUUGUAUUACUCUAGUGUCAUCACUGAUGUGAGAAGUCUGUGGUAGCACCAGCUGGGAGCCACUGCAUCUGUUAUGAGCUUGCUGGGUUUAUUGGUAUGAAUUUUUCUAUCUGAAGAUUAGCCCAGUACAAGAUAGCCAGGUUUGUGUGUAACUUUCAGUUGACCUUGACUUUGCAAGUGUACUGAGACUUCUAUUGCAGAUAGAUAAAGUGCAGAAUAUUAUAACCAUCGCUUAUCAUCUGCAAUGUCUGUUGUGAUAGCUCAGGAGAUAAAAUCAUCUGAACUCAAAAACAUCUAUAUGUAAAUAACACCAGUUGUUUAUUCGCCAAUGUUUUAAUCUCUUCAUGUUUUCAUACAAUUAUGAAUUAGCGUUAGAAUAACAAUAAUUAUUGACAGGGAUCUCUGGAGAAAACUCACUGAUCGUUUUAUCCCUCUAAUAAAUUACCAAGUACCCAGUACGUGCUGAUGUUAUCCAGUGAAACAAAGUGUACAGUGUAAUAGGUUCUGUUGGUUUGGGGAGUCUUUCUGUUUUAGAAAUCGAUUGAUAAAAUACAGUGCAUUGCAGCAAUACCAUCUGUAUACUUUGGGUUUUGUCACUCUGCCUCAAUCUGGAAGAGUGCCCUUGCAUUUCUACAUGUCUUCAGCGUUCAGUGCAAUAGUUCUAGUCUCGAUCGUAAUUGUUAUAUUCACUGUGUGCAUUGGGACAUGCUCAUGGAAAUUUCCCCCUCACAGUCCCAGAAGUGGGGAGGCUUCAUCUGGCCAGAAGCAGAAGAAAAACCUUUGGCCCAUCUAAGGAUUGCACCCUUUGCUCCUCUCCUGGUGGAUACUCAGCCUCCUCUUGGAUUUAAGGAGGGGAGAAGGGGGCUCUGGCACCUGCAGGCACCUUCUAUGUCUGGAAGACAACCAUGCCCACCCUCCACCUCCCCUUUGGUAUUAAAGUGAGGGGGACAUGGGGCCUUGCUGGGGGGCAUCAUGUUAGUUGCCUUUUUGAAGCUGAGAAAGAAUUUUUCCCUCCGCCAGACUGGCCUGGGCAUUGUGGGUUUUUCGCUUUCCUCUCAGCAGCCUAGGGACCUGGUGGGUAGAUUAGGUUUUUGUCACAGCUUGGCAGGUGCCUAGUUCAGAUGAUGGUUCCAUAAUGGCCCAGCUCCCUGACCUUGGAUUAGGAGAGGACAGCUCAUAAUGGAGGUGGGGAAUGGUGUGAGGAUCCUAAUAUCUGGUACAGUGAGGUGGGUGGGGGUCAGGAGACAACCCCCUCAACUCUUGUAUAAGGGAAGGGCUGUGGGGUUCACAUUGAAAGUACUGGGUUAGCAGCUGGAAUGGUGAAAUGGAUUACCAAGGAAGGAUGAUGUGCACUGGAUGAAUUCUUGUGGGAUAGUUCCCAGAUGUGCUACUUAAUACAUUUGCAGCCUAAUUAAACCACAUUUCUGGA